UCCUGGAUAGCUCAGUUGUUAAAGAAUCUGCCUGCAAUGCAGGAGACCCUGGUUCGAUUCCUGGGUUGGGAA
This 72-nucleotide transfer RNA is filed under the name Bos taurus (domestic cattle). It matches the Rfam family "tRNA". Rfam says of the family: Transfer RNA (tRNA) molecules are approximately 80 nucleotides in length. Their secondary structure includes four short double-helical elements and three loops (D, anti-codon, and T loops). RNAcentral also lists the same sequence under 4 other names. The record is from Rfam by way of RNAcentral. Lineage: Eukaryota; Metazoa; Chordata; Mammalia; Artiodactyla; Bovidae.